Molecule: ribosomal RNA, 264 nt
Filed under: uncultured bacterium
Lineage: Bacteria
Description: partial 16S ribosomal RNA
Rfam family: Bacterial small subunit ribosomal RNA
Source: RNAcentral
GUCCACGCUGUAAACGAUGUCAACUAGCCGUUGGUUCUAUAUACAGAAUUAGUGGCGCAGCUAACGCAUUAAGUUGACCGCCUGGGGAGUACGGCCGCAAGGUUAAAACUCAAAUGAAUUGACGGGGGCCCGCACAAGCGGUGGAGCAUGUGGUUUAAUUCGAUGCAACGCGAAGAACCUUACCUACCCUUGACAUCCAGAGAAUCUGUUAGAGAUAGUAGAGUGCCUUCGGGAACUCUGAGACAGGUGCUGCAUGGCUGUCGU